This 406-nucleotide ribosomal RNA is filed under the name uncultured bacterium. RNAcentral describes it as "partial 16S ribosomal RNA". It matches the Rfam family "Bacterial small subunit ribosomal RNA", at positions 30 to 526 of the family's 1533-position model. The record is from RNAcentral.
AUUGAACGCUGCCGGCAGGCCUAACACAUGCAAGUCGAACGAGCGGCGUACGGGUGAGUUAUGUCUGGGAAACUGCCUGAUGGAGGGGGAUAAUUACUGGAAACGGUAGCUAAUACCGCAUACCUUCAGACGCGCCCAGAUGGGAUUAGCUAGUUGGUGGGGUAACGGCUCACCAAGGCGACGAACCCUAGCUGGUCUGAGAGGAUGACCAGCCACACUGGAACCUAGACACGGUCCAGACUCCUACGGGAGGCAGCAGUGGGGAAUAUUGCACAAUGGGCGCAAGCCUGAUGCAGCCAUGCCGCGUGUAUGAAGAAGGCCUUCGGGUUGUAAAGUACUUUCAGCGGGGAGGCGUUACCCGCAGAAGAGACACCGGCUAACUCCGUGCCAGCAGCCGCGGUAAUUC